Molecule: ribosomal RNA, 343 nt
Filed under: uncultured soil bacterium
Lineage: Bacteria
Description: bacterial SSU rRNA
Rfam family: Bacterial small subunit ribosomal RNA
Source: RNAcentral
AGAACGAACGCUGGCGGCAUGCCUAAUACAUGCAAGUCGAACGAACUCUUCGGAGUUAGUGGCGCACGGGUGCGUAACGCGUGGGAAUCUGCCCCUUGGUUCGGAAUAACAGUUGGAAACGACUGCUAAUACCGGAUGAUGACGAAAGUCCAAAGAUUUAUCGCCAAGGGAUGAGCCCGCGUAGGAUUAGCUAGUUGGUGAGGUAAGCUCACCAAGGCAACGAUCCUUAGCUGGUCUGAGAGGAUGAUCAGCCACACGUGGGACUGAGACACGGCCAGACUCCGUAGGAGCAGCAGGUAGGAAUAGUGGACAAGUGGGACAAGCUGACUCCAGCAAGUCGCCG